This 2020-nucleotide ribosomal RNA is filed under the name human metagenome. Its description in RNAcentral is "bacterial LSU rRNA". It matches the Rfam family "Bacterial large subunit ribosomal RNA", at positions 1 to 2001 of the family's 2925-position model. The record is from RNAcentral.
AGAAGAUGGUAAGGGCAAACGGUGGAUGCCUUGGCACAAGAAGCCGAUGAAGGACGUGAUAAGCUGCGAUAAGCCACGGUAAGGAGCACAUAUCCUGUGACCCGUGGAUUUCCGAAUGGGUAAACCCACCAAGAGUCAUUUCUUGGUACUUCCUGCUGAAUAUAUAGGCAGGAUAGAGGUAACCGGGGGAACUGAAACAUCUAAGUACCCCGAGGAAGAGAAAUCAAACGAGAUUCCCCUAGUAGUGGCGAGCGAACGGGGAUAUAGGACAAACCGUCAGUUGCGCAAGCGCUGGCGGGGUUGUAGGACCAUUCAUUGUGGAGUUACAAAACUUCGUGGAAGCAGAAUAGCUUGGAAAAGCUGGCGAGACAGGGUAAAAGCCCCGUACGCGAAUCUGCGAAGACUCUCGAGUGGCACCUGAGUACUGCCGGACACGUGAAACCCGGUGGGAACCUGGGGGGUCCACCCUCCAAUCCUAAAUACUCUCUUGUGACCGAUAGUGAACCAGUACCGUGAGGGAAAGGUGAAAAGCACCCCUAGCGGGGAGUGAAAUAGUACCUGAAACCGUUUGCCUACAAGCAGUCGGAGCAGACUUUUGUCUGUGACGGCGUGCCUUUUGUAGAAUGAGCCAGCGAGUUACGGCAUGUGGCAAGGUUAAGCUAAAAAGCGAGCCGCAGCGAAAGCGAGUCUGAAUAGGGCGAGUGAGUCGCAUACCGUAGACGCGAAGCCAGGUGAGCUAUCCAUGAGCAGGCUGAAGCGGGGGUAAGACCCCGUGGAGGGCCGAACCCACUUAGGUUGAAAACUGAGGGGAUGACUUGUGGAUAGGAGUGAAAGGCCUAUCAAACCUGGAGAUAUCUCGUUCUCUCCGAAAUAGCUUUAGGGCUAGCCUCGGAUGUUUACCAAUGGGGGUAGAGCACUGAAUAGUUGCGGGGGCUUCACCGCCUACCAAGAUUAAUCAAACUCCGAAUACCAUUGGUCUAGAAUCCGGGAGUCAGAAUAUGUGGGCUAAGCUGUGUAUUCGAAAGGGAAACAGCCCAGACCGCCCGCUAAGGUCCCAAAAUCAAUGCUAAGUGGCAAAGGAUGUGCGUUUGCUCAGACAACCAGGAUGUUGGCUUAGAAGCAGCCAUUCAUUUAAAGAGUGCGUAAUAGCUCACUGGUCGAGUGGACAUGCGCCGACAAUAUACGGGGCUAAGCAUUGUACCGAAGCGGCGGAUCAGUACUUUGUACUGGUGGUAGGAGAGCUUUCUGUACGGGUUGAAGCAGUUGGAUAACCAACUGUGGACUGUCCAGAAGUGAGAAUGCUGGCAUGAGUAACGAGAGACAUGUAAAAAACAUGUCCGCCGUAAACCCAAGGUUUCCUGGGCAAGGCUAAUCCUCCCAGGGUUAGGCGGGAGCUAAGGCAAGGCCGGAAGGCGUAGUCGAUGCACAACAGGUAGAAAUUCCUGUCCCUCCAAAAGAGCGUUAUCACCAAUGGGGUGACGGAGCAGGGUAGCUAGGCGGGGUUCUGGACGUCCCCGUGAUGGCACGUAGGCUGAGAAGUAGUGAAAUGCGCUUCUCGUGAUGGCUGAGGUGUCGGACGAAGCAAUUGAGUGAAGCUAGUAAGCCCAUACUUCCAAGAAAAACCUCUAGGGAGCUCUGAGGAGCCCGUACCGCAAACCGACACAGGUGGGUGGGUAGAGCAUACCAAGGCGAUCGGGAGAACUAUGGUUAAGGAACUCGGCAAAAUUGCCCCGUAACUUCGGGAGAAGGGGUGCCGGUUUCGGUGAAGGGAUUUACUCCCCGAGCUAAGAUCGGUCACAGUAAAUAGGUCCAAGCGACUGUUUAUCAAAAACACAGGACUCUGCUGAAGUCGUAAGACGACGUAUAGGGUCUGACGCCUGCCCGGUGCCGGAAGGUCACGAGGAGUUGUUAGCAUUAGCGAAGCAGCGAAUCUAAGCCCCGGUAAACGGCGGCCGUAACUAUAACGGUCCUAAGGUAGCGAAAUUCCUUGUCGGGUAAGUUCCGACCUGCACGAAUGGUG